Molecule: transfer RNA, 72 nt
Filed under: Camelus bactrianus (Bactrian camel)
Lineage: Eukaryota; Metazoa; Chordata; Mammalia; Artiodactyla; Camelidae
Also listed under: 1 other name
Rfam family: tRNA
About the family: Transfer RNA (tRNA) molecules are approximately 80 nucleotides in length. Their secondary structure includes four short double-helical elements and three loops (D, anti-codon, and T loops).
Source: Rfam by way of RNAcentral
GCAGAUACAGCUCAGUGGUAGAGUGCGUGCUUAGCACGUAAGAGGUCCUGGGUUCAAUCCCCAGUACCUCUA